GUGCUCGCUCCAGCAACACAUAUACUAAGAUGAGACUGAUACAGCAAAGAUUAACAUGGCUUCUGCACGAGGGCCACAUGCAAAUUCAUGAAGCAUCUUGCACUUCU
Cavia aperea (Brazilian guinea pig) is the source of this 107-nucleotide small nuclear RNA. Lineage: Eukaryota; Metazoa; Chordata; Mammalia; Rodentia; Caviidae. The record is from Ensembl.